Molecule: long non-coding RNA, 1086 nt
Filed under: Strigops habroptila (Kakapo)
Lineage: Eukaryota; Metazoa; Chordata; Aves; Psittaciformes; Psittacidae
Description: lncRNA (ENSSHBG00005012551.1)
Source: RNAcentral
ACUCUUUCAUGGCCCCUAUGCCUCAGUGCCUGCAAUCGGGGUGACUCAGGACUCCAGUGCGCCGAGGGGGGAUCUGCCUGCCCCUGCCCGGGGGGCAGGGAGGCCGGCGGGGGUCCAGCCGUGCCUCACGGUGCGGCGUGGCGGCAGGCCUGCGUGCGUGCUAGCCUCAGUGACCGGCUCUGCUGGAGAUCAGGUUCCAGGCGGCGUGAGCAGCUCCAAGGACAAAUGAACAGAUGAGGACCCUUCACCAAAAAUGCCUGACUUCUGUAAGAUGCACCAUUCCUGAAGUGGGAAGGAUGGGAGCUGGGAAAAAAAAAAAGCACACAGCACAGAGGAUGCUUUCUGCAUUGAGAAGUACCUCUUCUCAUGGAACAACCUUUUCGUCAUUAUAAGAAGAGGAUUUAUGGCUGCACAGAAGGUGGAUCAACAGAACGAUUCCCAUUUCACAGCAAAACAGAGAUGGGUUGCUCAGACGGUGGCAGACCUGGAAGAGGAUCUGGAUCUCUGGAGCCUUCAGUUCAUUUCAGCCUACUUGGUUACAGGUUCCUUGCCUUGCAAUAAAUAUAUGAUCAAUAAAAGAUAAUUCUGUCAAGGUGUUAAAGGCAAUUAGACAUACAAGAUUCAUCUUGUAUGUUUUCAAAGAUUUAAAGCUCCCUGUAGAAUGACUGUCUUCUGCCAGUUGUUCUUUAUAGGAAUCAGAAAAUAUUCCUGUGAUUUCUUCAAAACCAGCAUUUCCCAACUGUAUGUAUCAUCAGUGAAUCAAAUAGAGACAAAUCUUGUCUCUCAUUUCCAGUUAAGCCUGUCAUGUUAUAUGGCACUACAUAAUAUAUCAAGAAACAAAUGCAGCUGAUCUGGCAUGUCAUUGCUGCAAAAGGAAAUGAAACAAAUGCAGAUUUAUGAAAGAAGGCCCAUUUUUGGCACCAGUCAUGGACUUCCUGGCUGACUGCUAAUACCAAAGUGCAGAUUGUCUAUUUUAUGUUAGCAAGGGGAAAUCCCAGUAAUUCAUACCACAGCAUUAAAACACAGGAAUCUAAAAAUAGCAUGAAAGAGCUGGACUGGAAACAACAAUAAAAAUGAAAACUAAAA